AGAGGAAAAAUAAAAAUAAUAAUAAAAAACUUGAUUCCUCUGCUAGGGUUUCAACCCUAGCUUCUACGCCGCCGCACCUCUACUGCGAUCCCACUGUGGAAGGUGGUCGGAGUCGCACCCCAAAGGGCUUAUUGGCUCCUUUUGCGUAGAUUGAAGGCGUCGCCAGGUAUUUCCCCUACUUUCCCUUUACUUUUUGUAUUACAAUAAAUCAAAUCGAAGAAAAGAGGAAACGAAGGAAAUAAAUUACUACCUUUUAAUCUAUUUUCCUUUCUUCUUUUUUUCUUCUGAAUUUCUGUUUGUGAUUUUUAUUCUCUGCUUGUAUACUCUGUUUUGCUGUGAAUAUAAUCGUAUUUUUAUUGAUUUCGAAAAUCCCUAUUUACAAUAUUCUUAAUGGCCUUUUAUAACAAAAUAACAACAUAGAUAGUAAAUCUAUUGGAUUUGAUUCUCAAUCUUUUGAUUUUCUUUCUAUUUUUGUUUCUUUCCUUGUCAUGCAGGUGAAGAUCGCGUGGAGAUUCGGCCUGUGUGGACGAUUGGAGUUGCGGCGGCUGAAGCUUAGAAACCCUAGGGUUUUUCAUCUGUUUUGGGCAACUAUUUCGGGUUUUGGGCCUCAUAGGCCCAUUUUAAUCUGGGCCUUUUACCCGGGCCAAAAUCGGGUAUUACAAAAAUAAUAUUUUAUUUUUAAUUACAAGAAAAUUAUUAAAUACAAAUAAUAUUUUUAUAUUCUAGUUAGUAGUUAGUAUUAUAUCAAAAUAUGAUAUAAUACUCCAUAUUGUUAAUUGGAAAUAAUAUUAGAAAUGUUUUUAUUUUUUUAUGUUAGUUUUUAAAAUUAUAUGAGGUCUUUUUUAAAAUUUCAAUCUUGUUCUUUCUCUUCAACCCAUUUUAUCUGUAAAAUGUCUUUACCCCUCUACAAAAUUCAUCUUCUCUCUAUCUAAAUUUACAAUCCACCAUAUUAUUUACUUUCUACCAUAUUUGCUUCCAUCAACCAAGUGGUUUCCGUAGUCGAUUACUGUGUC
This 1013-nucleotide long non-coding RNA is filed under the name Gossypium barbadense (sea-island cotton). RNAcentral describes it as "long non-coding RNA (GBAR_LNC018882)". The record is from RNAcentral. Lineage: Eukaryota; Viridiplantae; Streptophyta; Magnoliopsida; Malvales; Malvaceae.